GUGCUUGCUUUGGCAGCACAUAUACUAAAAUUGGAAUGAUACAGAGAGGAUUAGCAUAGCCCCUGUGGAAAGAUGACAUGCAAAUUCAUGAAGUGUUAUAUAUGUGU
Molecule: small nuclear RNA, 107 nt
Organism: Sarcophilus harrisii (Tasmanian devil)
Lineage: Eukaryota; Metazoa; Chordata; Mammalia; Dasyuromorphia; Dasyuridae
Source: Ensembl